This 440-nucleotide ribosomal RNA is filed under the name uncultured bacterium. RNAcentral's name for it is "partial 16S ribosomal RNA". It matches the Rfam family "Bacterial small subunit ribosomal RNA", at positions 338 to 795 of the family's 1533-position model. The record is from RNAcentral.
CCUACGGGAGGCUGCAGUGGGGGAUAUUGCACAAUGGGGGAAACCCUGAUGCAGCGACGCCGCGUGUGGGAAGACGGUCCUCUGGAUUGUAAACCACUGUCCCCAGGGACGAAGAUGACGGUACCUGGGGAGGAAGCUCCGGCUAACUACGUGCCAGCAGCCGCGGUAAUACGUAGGGAGCGAGCGUUGUCCGGAAUUACUGGGUGUAAAGGGAGCGUAGGCGGGGAUGAAAGUUGGGUGUCAAAACUACGGGCUAAACUGGUAGUCGCACUCAAAACUGCAGAUCUUGAGUGAGGUAGAGGCAGGCGGAAUUCCUGGUGUAGCGGUGAAAUGCGUAGAUAUUAGGAGGAACACCAGUGGCGAAGGCGGCCUGCUGGGCUUUUACUGACGCUGAGGCUCGAAAGUGUGGGGAGCAAACAGGAUUAGAUACCCGAGUAGUC